This is a long non-coding RNA of Rhodamnia argentea, 575 nucleotides long. RefSeq lists it as uncharacterized. The transcript is spliced from 3 exons. The record is from RefSeq and is a predicted model, not a curated record. NCBI's taxonomy places the organism in Eukaryota, Viridiplantae, Streptophyta, Magnoliopsida, Myrtales, Myrtaceae.
AGAGAGGAGGCUUGAUUCAUCUUUUGGUCAUCACUUAGCAACACUCUUUACUUUGUGCAUGCUUUUCAGGUGCCUAUCUUUGCUUAUUUGAUGGGGCAAGUUAAAGAGAGAUGAGCACAACCCUAGAUGUGACCGAGCCUAAGGAUUCAAAUGUCUCUUCUUUCCUUCUUUCUUCCUCUCCCUUGGUAUAAAGAGAACCCUACCCAGAUCCACUUAGAUCCAUCACCACUUGUUGCACUAUUUGAUUCAGAGAUUGUUAUCUGCAACUGUGAGGAAUCAACAUGAACGAUCCCAAGUAUUCAUACCCCUAUCCUUCUCAAGCCCCUUACCAGGGGCAUCCGGCGAUGGUGCCACCGCCAUACGUGCCGCCUCAGUAUGUCCCUCCACAGUACGCGCCUCCGUCUCCACCUCCACCCACACCUAGCGGCUUUAUUGAGGCAUGCUGUGCAUGUCUGUGCUGUUGCUGUAUCUUCGAGGAGUGCUGUUGGUCGUGACCCCAUUGCGGCAGUGGCCAAUCGAAGAGCAUAAGAGCAGCACCAUUUCAAGCACCCAUUUCAAUCUACUACUGUUCUAUA